Molecule: ribosomal RNA, 433 nt
Filed under: uncultured bacterium
Lineage: Bacteria
Description: partial 16S ribosomal RNA
Rfam family: Bacterial small subunit ribosomal RNA
Source: RNAcentral
AACGAACGCUGGCGGCAGGCCUAACACAUGCAAGUCGAGCGAGGACUUCGGUUCUAGCGGCGGACGGGUGAGUAACGCGUGGGAACGUGCCCUUUGCUUCGGAAUAGCCCUGGGAAACUGGGAGUAAUACCGGAUGAGCCCUUUGGGGGAAAGAUUGAUCGGCGAAGGAUCGGCCCGCGUUGGAUUAGGUAGUUGGUGGGGUAAUGGCCUACCAAGCCGACGAUCCAUAGCUGGUUUGAGAGGAUGAUCAGCCACACUGGGACUGAGACACGGCCCAGACUCCUACGGGAGGCAGGAGUGGGGGAUCUUAGAAAAUGGGGGGAACCAUGAUCGAGCCAUGCCGCGUGAGCGAUGAAGGCCUUAGGGUUGUAAAGCUCUUUCAGCUGGGAAGAUAAUGACGGUACCAGCAGAAGAAGCCCCGGCUAACUCCGUG